AAUGAACGUUGGCGGCGUGCCUAACACAUGCAAGUCGAGCGAGGUCCAUCCGGUGGCAACACCGGUGAAGACCUAGCGGCGAACGGGUGAGUAACACGUGAGGAACCUGCCCCGAAGUCUGGGAUAACCCGAGGAAACUCGAGCUAAUACCGGAUGCCCUCCACUGAUCGCAUGGUCGGUGGCGGAAAGAUUUAUCGCUUCGGGAGGGCCUCGCGGCCUAUCAGCUAGUUGGCGGGUAACGCCCACAAGGCAUCGACGGUAGCUGGUCUGAGAGGACGAUCAGCCACACUGGGACUGAGACACGGCCCAGACACCUACGGGAGGCAG
This 327-nucleotide ribosomal RNA is filed under the name uncultured Actinomycetes bacterium. RNAcentral describes it as "bacterial SSU rRNA". It matches the Rfam family "Bacterial small subunit ribosomal RNA", at positions 29 to 351 of the family's 1533-position model. Lineage: Bacteria; Bacillati; Actinomycetota; Actinomycetes. The record is from RNAcentral.